CAUAACAAAACCCCACUUUGUAGUGAGGUUGAGGGAAAAAACAAUGAGGUCUCUAAUGGCCUCCGCAACAGUCACUCUUGUGUUAGCAAUACUGUCUCUAAGCUUGCCAUCUCAAAUCUCAGCUGAUACCUACUUGUACUCAUCACCUCCUCCUCCCAAGAAGCCCUAUUAUUAUCACUCUCCUCCACCACCUUCACCUCCUCCACCUAAGCCAUACUACUAUCAUUCACCACCACCACCUUCACCUCCUCCACCCAAGCCAUACUACUAUCACUCACCACCACCACCUUCACCUCCUCCACCUAAACCAUACUACUAUCACUCACCACCACCACCUUCACCUCCUCCACCUAAACCAUACUACUAUCACUCACCACCACCACCUUCACCUCCUCCACCUAAACCAUACUACUAUCACUCACCACCACCACCUUCACCUCCUCCACCUAAGUCAUAUUACUAUCACUCACCACCACCACCACCCAAAAAGAAGCCAUACUACUACCAUUCUCCCCCACCACCUUCACCACCUCCUCCUAAGCCAUACUACUAUCACUCUCCCCCACCGCCUUCACCUCCUCCACCUACGCCAUACUACUAUCAUUCUCCCCCACCACCCUCACCACCUCCACCUAAGCCAUACUACUACCAUUCACCACCACCCCCACCGAAGAAGAAGCCUUACUACUACCACUCUCCACCACCACCUUCACCUCCUCCUCCAAAGAAGCCAUACUACUACCACUCCCCACCUCCUCCCAAGAAGCCCUACAAAUAUUCAUCUCCCCCACCUCCAGUGCACCCUUACCCUCAUCCUCACCCCCAUCCCCAUCCACACCCCCACCCUCACCCUCCCUACGUUUACAAAUCUCCUCCCCCACCCCCUAAGAAGCCAUACAAGUACCCAUCCCCACCACCUCCAGUCCACGUUUACCCUCACCCUCACCCGCAUCCACACCCUCACCCUCAACCUCACCCCCAUCCACAACCCCACCCUCCCUACAUUUAUCAGUCUCCUCCACCACCCCCUAAGAAGCCUUACAAGUACCCAUCGCCUCCACCUCCCGUCCACCCAUACCCCCAUCCCCACCCUCUUCCUCAUCCCCACCCUCACCCUCUUCCACAUCCCCACCCUCUUCCCCAUCCUCACCCUCUUCCUCAUCCCCACCCUCUUCCCCAUCCUCACCCCCUCCCUCCUUACACUCCUCAUCCAAUCUAUCACUCUCCAUCACCACCACCACCUUACAAGAAGCCUUACAAGUACAAGUCCCCUCCACCACCUCCACACUACAUCUACGCAUCACCUCCACCUCCUUACCACUCUUAGACAGUGGUCAACUAGCAUAGUUCUAUGGUAACCUUCUUCAUACCUACGUACAUGCUACAUUAUUAUAAUUUCUCAUUAAUGGUUCCGCAUUUUUUUACAUCUAUACUUGUUCCCAAAAAAUGAAUACCAAACCCUCGUGAUCCCUGUCAAGGUUUUUAACUUGAUACGGAAAAUGAUUUUUCUGGUUUGGUUUUAUAGGGACCACGUACCCCUCACUGAAAUUGACAGACACUAUAAUAAUAUGUGCAUGUGUUCUAAUGUUUUGUAGGAUGUGAAGAAUAUAUGCGACAAAUAAAGAAAGAGAUGGAAAGAAGGGCACGAAAGAGAAAAAUGGAAGCAAAGUUUCCGCGUUUUGUCUUUCAUAAAAAAACUUUAAAUUAUUUUCUAUCAUAGGGUUCGUUUCUGCUAUUUUUCUUUGUUUAUGAAUUUGGGUGUAUUUUAACAGUUGUAAAGCACUGCGCUCUGCUGCAUCAUCUGUCGUAACAGUACAACCUAGCAUGCUCUGUAGUUUUCAACCAUCUGCGUUUGCAGGGGUCGUAAAACUAUUCAUAUAUAAUUAAAUAAAUUAUAUUCUCUUCUCGCAAUAUCUUACCUUAUUUAGCUGAAAUUAUUCAUCAAUUUUUUGGUUCAUCUUAUUUUAAUUUUGUUAUGUUUGAUGUUGUCUACGUCAAAGUUAUGUGCAUUACAGCAAGUAACUUUUCAUUGAAUUGUCUGGUGUGACACAGAAUUCCGACAGAGAAAGUCACACUCAGGCUCCCUCCUCCGUACACACACUCCAUUACCAUAAUAUUAUUACUUACCAAUGUACUCUUUAACUUAUAAUUCAUCUCCAAAGAGUGAAAGUAAGAAUUUAUGUUGAAAUAUUUUCACAAAAUUAAUUUGUAUUAGUUAUAAUAUAAUAUUUUAUAUAUUUAAAAAUUGUUAUUUUUUUUAUGAAAGUGAGUGAUUUGGCACGUGGUUAUAGCGUGGUGCAUGGAUGGCAAAGUUAGAGCAUGUUGUGAGCCAAUCCAACUUGAAGGCAUUUGUUGAGAAUAUUUUCCCAAUGUUCAUGACACGGGAAGCUUGAUAGAAACAAACGUGGGUUAGUCUUUGUAGCUUUUGAAAAAAGUAAGUGUUUAAAAUGGAGAGGUACGGUCGUUUUGCAAAGAAAUACUGACAAAUUUACUGAACCGGAAUUAUAACCCAAAAAAAUUAGGGGCUGAAUUGAAAUCUAAACACUAAAUUUAUCUCCAUAAUCUCAUUAAAUGUUUAUCUAAGCAUUAGUGAACUUUCAAAUGGAACUUAAUUGUUUAUUAAAAGGUUUUAUUUAUAAAAACAAUUUUUUAACUAACUUUCAAUUGAAAAUCUAAUAAACAGUUGACAAGUCAUGUUAUAAGUCAUUUAGAGAGUGGAAAAUGUUAAAUUGAAGUAAUAAAUGGUUUCAUCAGACAGUUUUGAACUACAAGACAAUUUAAUAUCUUUAAACGGUCUAAUGUCUCUAGACGGUUUAGGAAGCUUCGAACAUAAAUUUUACUAAACUAAAUUUUUAUAAAUUUUCACUUUUGUUUAGCACAAAUCUUCUUAGUGAUAAAACACUCACUUUCUUUAAGUUCAUUAGAGACUUAAUCACCUAUAAGAUGGAUUAGAUUGAAGCAAUGGAGAUUUUGAUCAUAUUAGAGAGACUAUGAUUCGUUUAGAUCUUCGUCAUCUUCACAGAUCCUCGAACAAUCUUUUCUCUCACAAAAUCCAGUUUCACAUCAAUGUGUUUUGUUCUUUCAUGGUAGACUCAAUUAUUUGAAAGUUGUAUCACACUACUAUUGUCAAAGUAGACUAUUAUAACUUGGUCCUUCAUUUUCAACUCCUUGGCUAGACCCUUAAGCCACAAGACUUCUUUCACAGCUUAUGUCAUGACAAUAUAAUUUGUCUUAGUGAUUGACAAAGUCAUUACCUUAUAGAGACUAGCUUUCCAACUAGAGUAAUAUCAUAAGCAUUAAACUCAUAGCUAGUGAAAGAUAUUUUAGUUUCCAAACGCCCAUCAAUGUCUAACUCAACAAACCCUUCUAAAGGAACUUCUUCGAUAGAUCAUCUAGAUCCACCAUAAACUGAAACUCUUAUAAGUAAUCCUUUCAAGUAAAAAAGGAUUCACUUAAGAGAUCAUCAAUAUGCUAUUCCAGGGUUAGACAUAAACAUGCUUACAACACUCUCAACAUAAGCUAUGUUAGGACAUGUGUUAUCAUAACAUACAUCACAGUACCAACGAGGCUAACUUAUGGAAGACCAUCCAUAUAACAUUGUUCUUCCACGGUCUCAGGACAUUGUUCAUCUCACUCAAUUUGUAAUGGGAAGCAUGAGGUGUGUAGAUAGGUUUUAAGUUUUUCAUGUCAAACUUAUUAAGAAUUUUUCUCAAUGUCAGCCUUCUUAACAUCGCUACUAUCCAUCGGCUUACAUUCAUAAACUUCUCGCUUGUAAGCCAUUUUAGUUUCGUCAAAGACAACAUGUCUACUAAUGAUACAAUAUCUCUUCACUCCUUUUGGAUACCCAAGAAACAUGCGUUUUACAACAUGACCAUCCAAUUUAUCUUGCCUAAUAUGAGCAUAGGCAACACCACAAAAAAUUCUCAGAUGAUCAAGGUUGGGAGGUUGUCCUGACUAGACUUCCUCAAGGGUUUUCAUUUCCAAUGCAAUUGAAGGACAUUUUUUUAUUAGAUAUGCAACAGUGGUAAUAACAUCAACCCAAAAAUUAUUUGCAACUUUAGCACUCAAUGUCAUGUACCUCGCUCAUACCAGAUGAUGAACAUAAUUUUAUUUACACUUAUUAACUUUAAUUAUAAAUUAUUGCAAUGAAAUAAUAUAUAAAUCCAUUAUUUAAAUUAAUGUUCAUCUAAUUGGGUUUAUUUGGGCCUUAAUUAUUAUUUCUGUUAAUUUUGUAUUUUUAACAUAAGUUACUUCUUUUGGAUCAAAACAUGAAACAAAAUCUGAAAUAAAGAAUUAGAGAAUUAAAUAUGCAAAUAUAUGAGAAAAGGAAUUGAAUGCAAAUUCUUACCGGGAUAUUCUCUAAAAAUUAUGCAAUUAAAAUUUCUCUACAAAAUCCUUCAAAAAUAGAGAAAAUAUACUUUGAAGAUAUUAUUCAAGAAAAUCUUCUGCAAUGUCUCUCACAUCAAUGUUGGAAUCAAUUACAAUCAAUGCACAAAUCUGAUGAAAUUUGGAAACAAUAUUUCUGGAAGAGAAGCAAGAAUAAAAUUGGAAACUAUUUGGGAAUGAAGAUAUAUGUUUAAUAAUUUGAAACAGGAAAUGAAACAUUUGAUAAUUGUAAAACAAUAUGAUAAGGCAGAUUUUAAUCCGAUUUUGUGCAAGGAAAAGAAGAUUAUAAAAGAGACUUCAGAGGAAGGAAGAGAGAGCUUUUUGGAUCAUGUUUUAGAGGAGAAAACACGUUCUAGACCUAGUUUUCUUUUCUUCUUUGUAAUUUUUUUUGUUUUGUUUCCGCAUGGAAGGAUAAACCUUUUUGGUUGAUUUCUUUGCAAUUCCCCAUUGAAUUCCGAGGUUUUGAUCAAUAAAAGUUUCGAUUUUUAAUUCCUUAUAGCAUAUAUUUUAAUAUUCUAAUCUCCUGGAAAAUUGGUUUUUGUGAGAGGUUGUACUUGAAUGCAUGAUUGAGAGUUUUACUUAUCUUAAACUUUGGUUUCUUAGUUAGUUCACAUUGUUCUAAUUAAUUUCUUGGGCACAUGAUUCAAGAGAGAGGAGAUAAGCAUUCCCAUGGAGUAUACACAUGGAACAAAGUGGGUAUUGAUUAAACCAAUAGACGCAUGUUUUACUUGUGAACUUCACUUGAAUAAGAUUGACGCGUGUUCAAUUUGGUUUAGCUCCGUUGGAGGAUUGAGAAAAGAAUAAUUUUUAGAGAACUUGUGAAGAAUUCAAUGGUGGGAGAACUUGGGGAUCAACUGCUUUUUAAUUGCUAUUUUAAUCUCUUUUAUAUUUUCUGCACAACUAUCUCAACCCCCUUCUCUUUAUUGUUAUUGCUAACUUUUAUUGCUUGCGUAUAGAUUCUAAACACUGAUAUACUAAUUUCACUAUUGGAUUCGUUGGGAGACGACUUGGGGUCAUCUGACCACAAUUAUACUAUCAUCUCUCUAGCGUUAGGUCUAUGUUGGAAUCAUAUUUAAUUUGACUGCUAAACGACAACUAUCACCAGAAUAGUCCUAUUGAAUCUCUUUACUUGGCCAUUUUGUUGAGGAGUCCAUGCAAUCGUCUGGUGCCUUGCUAUGCCAUGCUCUUUGCAGAAGGUGUUCAAUAGUUCGAGACAGAACAAAAGACCAUUAUCGAUUCUUAGUCGCUUGAUUGUAUUACCAUUAUGAUUUUUUACUAGACUCUUCCAACCUUUAAAGUUCUCAACUGCUUCGUCUUCUUAGGAUAAACUCAUAAUGUACUUAAAUUAUCAUCAACAGUUGACAAUAAGUAUCUGACUUCAGAGUGUGAUGGAAUAAGAGAUGGACCUCAUAGAUCAACAUGAACAUAAUCAAAGGUCCCCUUUAUCCUCUACUGACUCAUUCUGAAAUGAAUUUUAUAGACUUUCCCCUAGACGUAAUGUUCACAUAAUGCCAACUAGUCAAUUUUAUCAGUCCCAAACAAGCCUUGUUUGUCCAACUCCAUUAAGCCUUUCUCGCUUACAUGACCCAACCUUUUGUGUCAUACACUACUAGAAAAUUAUUAAAUAAAAACCAAUUUUAGAGACAAAAAAUAAUUAGUUACUAUAUUGACUAAAUUAUAUAUUAUUUUAGACACUAACAAAUUUAUUAGUAUCUAAAUUAGUUUCUAUGUUAUUGAUAAAAAAAAGUUUAUAAAUUGAUAUCUAAUUAGCUAACUAGGUUUUAGCUACCAAUUAUUUAGAAUCUACAUUUGUUUUUAAAAUAUUGGUAGUCAAUUAGAUACCGAUUUAGAAACUAUUUAUCAAUAAUAGAAACUAAUUUAGAUACCAAUAAUUUUUUUAGUCUCUAAAAUAGUAUCUAAUUUAGUCAAUAUAACACCUAAUUAUUUUGUCUCUAAAAUUGAUUUUUAUUUAAUGAUUUUUUGAUAGUGAUAACUCUCUUUUGGAGUAGACAUUUUUUUAAGCAAAUGCUGACCCAGAUAUUACAACACCUUCCAAAGCAUACAAGUCAUUCUUUCCCACAACCUUUAUGACUACCAUAGCCCCUUCAACACCCCUCUCUCACCUUUGAAUACAUAACACUUAUUUUCAAGUUCAUUAAGGAUAUAGGUUUUGUUUCAAGCUAGAUACAUACUAACAAAUUCACUACACCAUCUAGUAUACAAACGCUAGGCGAUAACAGAAAAACUGCAGGAACGAAGAAGGUUUCUUUUUUAUCGACAAUAAGCAAUUAAAUUAAACCAGCCCACUUAAGGGGUGGUCAAACCCUCAUACAGAGAAUAAAAGAUAAAAGUUCCUUUUCACCUUCGUAUCUAAAAUCCACAAAUUAAUCCUCUACUUCCUUUCUAACACUAAUAACUGAAGAAUAAAACAACGCACCAACAUUAAAUCGAGUACAUACAUACCAAGGGUUUAAGACGCCAUUAAGAGAACGAGAAACUCACUGACGGUAUCUUUGAGUUGAUCUAAGACCAAACUUUGACAUGUGCUAGAGAAAAUACUUCAAUAUGAUCUACCACUUCUCCUUUAAACAAACAAUUAUUCUUGUAUCUCUAAAUCAAGAACAAAAUAAACAAAGAAUCACACAUAGAAAUUUACGUGGUUCAACUAAAACCUAGUCUACGUCCAUGGUUAAAAUUUCACUAAAACAAAAAAAUCUAAGAUUACAACACAAAGUUUAUUUCAUAAGUCUCAUAAGUGAACUUUCAACUCUAAGUUAAAAAUAAUUGUUCAUUACAAGAUCCUAUUUAUACAAACAAAAUUGUCUAACUAAGUUCCAUUAAAAAAUACACCAAAUAAUUUACAAGUCACAUGCAUAAUAAUUUGACUAGGAAUGGAAAACUCCAACUAAUACUGAAAAUCAACCUGAAUUAGUAAAAAAUAUGCUUAAAAAGCUAUGAUUCAGAAUAAACAAUCUAAUACCUUUAGAAGCUCAAAUAAACAAUAUAAUUUCUCUAAACAUUCUUAUACCUCUAUAUGAUCUACUGACUCUAAAUGAUCUAUGAAACUUCGAACAUAGAUUUUAAUAAUAAGCAAAAUCUUCACAUGUAUAAAAAUGUGAAUUAAGCAUGUGGCUAUGUUUCCAUAACAAGUAUGUUUUGAUAGUCCUCUUACAUAGUCUCCACAAACAUCUCUUUUAUUACUUCUAUUCAAGAGCAUUCAAAUUAUUUGUUACUCAAAAUUUAACAGAAUCCAACGUUUUCUAUUUAUCGAUAUAUUUAUACUAUUUAUUAAAUCUAGUUAUAUUAAUUUUUAAAUUAUAAAUUUUUAUCAAGUUGUGGUCCUGAACAGAGUCUAGGUAGCCAUAGUCUACCACUGCAAAUUUUAUAGGAUACCAAAUUUUAUUUAUAUAUUAAAACUUAAAAUUUACAAUAAUUAUUAAUAUUAAUAUAUAUUUCCACUCAUUAAGACAAACACUAUUAACAUGUAUAAGGCCAAAAAAAUAUUUUGUAUAAUAAAAAAUUAAGAGACACAUCACACCUAUACUUCUAUUGUUAACCUUAAAUAAACCUUUAAUUUUCUGUUUUCUCCAUCUCUACAUAAGAUUAAUUUAUUUUCAAAUAAAUUUAAUUCUAGAUAUUUUAAUUGAAAACAUAAAUCUAUAAAAUUAAUUUCUUAAUAAAUUUUAAUUGUUUAAUUUUAAAAAACAUAUUAAAAUAAAAAUUAAUAACAAGGAGUGUAUAUCCACCUAGUUAACAAGAAGAUAGUCCAAAUAUUGAUGCUUACUACUUAUAGAUAUUCAUUAAAAGCAUUUAUUUUUUAUGCAUUGGCAUAAGAAAAAAAUGGAAAGAAGAAAGUGCAAUAAAUAGGGUUGAUGAGAAAUGUGAAUUAAAGAAAGAGUUGGAAUAAUUAAUAAAUUGUGAGUAUGGGAUUGCUCUAUUCUUCCUAACACCUUUGGACACUUCUCAUCCCAAAAGGUUAGUAUGAGUGAGACCCUACCCUACUAACUAAGGUAUCAUUUUUUUAGUAUGCCACUUGACCUGUUAGGGAUGCUGAGACUGGUGUUUUGUCAUUUCUUCUUUUCCAUUUUUAUAUGAAUCUGAUUGUGAAUUAACUUUCCUCUAUGACCCCGGGACAAGUUGAUGUGACAUAUACACCUCAAGAAUAUCCAAAUUAAUGAAUUUGAUAAAGAAAACCACCACAGAUAUAGAAAAGCUUCUAUUGCAUUAAGAUUUUUUUAUAAUUUUUAAAAAGUUGGAAUACUUUUACUUUAAAUGGUUUUUUAUUUAAAUUAUUCUUUUAAAUGUUUUGUUUAGAAGAAGAUUAUUUAUUACAUUUUUUCGGAUAGAGUAUUUUGAUUUUCAUUAAAUGUAAACAUUUAUUUUUAAAUUACAAUAUAUUUAUUUAACUGGCAAAAAAUAUGCAUAGGCAAUCUUUUUUUACUUAUAACAAUAAAUAAAAAAUUAGUUGACAUAACUUGAAAACUAAUUUCUCAAUAUUGAUUGAGAAAAUCAUUGAUUAAUGAAGAUGAAGAAAUUAUUGACACUUUUAUUAAUUUGUGCAAUUUUAUCUCUUAAUUACUAAAAUUGAUUAAAUUUUAAAAAAUUAUCAAAACGGGUAAGUCGUGCAACCUUGACACGAUUUUAGAUAAAAUUUGAUUAUAUUCAAGUUGUGUCAUCUUGGCACGACUUUAGUUCAAAUAUACUAAAGUAGUAUUUGUUGGACAUUUCAAGGAUUCUCACUUCAGUGUUUGAUGAAGUCAUGUUUGAAGACUUGCUGCCUUAUGUGUCUAGUUAGCUUAUGUUUUAAUUUGUUUGUCUUGAUUUAUCUUUUGUCUUUAGGAAUGAUGAAGGAUCAAAUAACAAAAUAUUUUUCAAAUAGUUAGAAAGGUUUUCAACUUGUUUUAAUUUUUUUUUUCUAGAAAGUUACAAUUUCUCAAUCUGUUAUCUUUUAAAUCAAUUGAUUGAAAAUACUGAAAUGUUUUAGAUUUUUCUGUAAUAUGUUUUAUAUACUAAAAACCAUAUUUUUAUAUGUAAGAUAAGAAUUGUUUUCAGUUUAAGUACAUUCUAUUUUAGAAAAAUUAGUUUAAUACAAACUACAAUUUUUAAGUAAAAUCAACAAAUUAUUUUGAUUUUUAACUGGUUGAUUUUACUUACUGCAUCAUUUUCUGUUUUAAAACCGUUUAUGUUAAAAACUCUAUAAAAGGGUGUGUUUGUUUUUAGAAAAAGUUUUUUUUUACUUGCACAAUUUAUACUUUUACAAUUAGUGAGAACCUAAGUGUGAGUAGAUUAUGAAAGAGUGAGUCUUUGAUAGAUCUUUGAGAGUUCUUAGUGCCUAAUCUUCAUCAUCUAGAUAGAGGUCAAAGAUUCUUCAAGUGUUGUUGUGAAUUGGAAGGUCCUGUUGCAUUUAUUGAUUCACAGUCAAGAUGUUUUCGUUCCCUUACCUAUUGUUUUGUAAUUUUGUGUUUGUUGGGGCUAAGAUAGGGUUUCUUGGUGAGAAUCAUAGUUGUGACAAAGUGUUGUAGUGAGUGAUUUGGUUCUUGUAGUGUUAAAGAACUGUUGUUGUAAAAUAAUUGUGUUGAUUUAGUGAAUUCUGUCUUAAUGUGAGGUGAGACUGUGUGUGAGUGAAAAGUAUAAAAUCUUGUUCUGGUUUAUCACUGCAUUUUAAUUUUUCUGCUCAAUAUCUUGUUCUGGUUUAAUCAAUUGAUUGUUUGUAAAAAUCAAUCUGUUGUUUUGUUCUGUACAAAUAUGUGAUAAGUGUCAAAUUUCAAUAAUAUUUCAUAUUAAAAUAUAGGUACAUAUGGGUAUUAAUUGCUAAAAUAAGUAUAAAAUAACCCCUAAUUUAUUAAAUUAUACCUUUUUACAUAUUUUGUUAUUUUAAUUUAAAUAUGAACGAUUUAUUCCCAAAUUUAUGUUAAUUUUAGGAUUCUAGGGUAGAAUGAAGAUAACUGAGCAAAAUGAGAAUAUACAAAGCUAAAAAGAGAAAGUUGGAAUGCACUAACAUCAGCUGCCCCCAAACUCACAAAAAACCAAAACGCCAUCAGUGGAUCUCGCUUAAGCGAGCUCAUUCUCGCUUGAGCGAGAUUACUCUAGUAACGUUGGACCUUUUUAUGUUUUACUCGUCCAAGCGAGUCCAUUAGCACCCAAGCGAUAAGUCACUUAAGCCCAAUAAAAUUAGGUUAAAUAAGAGGCUUGAGGCACAACCCUAGACGUGCAAGAUUGAGAGGAAAAAACCAUUGAGUGAAUUGUAACCCAAUUGAGAGAAUAAAAUAUGUUAAAAAAAUCUUAGAGGAGGUAGCCAUGAAGGAGAAAAAUUUGGAAUCUUCUUUUCUUGCUCUCCCUGCUUGUAAUGACCAUCAUGUGUGGCUGGUUCUACCCUUUGGGAUUGGGAAUAAUCUCAUCAAAAUCCUAUGUAUUGAGGUGAUAUCUAAACACAAUAUUAUGUUGUUGAUUGAUGAUGGAUAUUAUUGUUUUGUUUGUAAUGUUUAGUUUACCAUGAUCUAGAAUCUUAAAUUUGAUUGGAAAGUACUUCUAAGAUUUUGAUCUAAAUGAUAAUACUUAACAUAUUUGAAUGUUAGGAAUAGAUUUGAAAUGUUAAUUGCUAUCAACAUUUGAUCUUAAGGAUAAGUUGUUUUUAUAAAUAUACAUGAAAGCUUUUUAUUAAAAAAAAAGUUGUUUUUAUAAAUAUGUGAUGAAUCGAUAUUUACAAAGCAUCUUAAUAAUUUUAUAUGCGAGGAAUCAAUAUAAAUGUUUUUUUAUAUGGGCAUCAAUAUCAAUCAAAGGACACAAUAUUGCCAUGUUAAUCAAAAUACAAAAGAGUGAGAAAGAUGAACCCCAAUCCCUAUUUUUCCAAUUGAAGCAAUAAACUCUUUAACUUGUUUUCUUAUUAAGCAUUGUCAUCAUAACAAAUCUCAACACACUUUUAUUAUUCUGUUUUAUAUUUAGUGAUCUUUUACUUGAUUGUUCAACUGUUCCUUGUGAGUUUGAUAUCCGUUUUUACGGACAAAUUAUUACUUAUGACAAUGCGGUGCACUUGCUGUUAAAAGUCAUCAGUGCUGUUUUUUUUUCUUCUUCUAAAAUAACCAAAACAAAUGUGUUAAAAAAUAGAGUGUUACAUUGUGAAUUGAUUAUGUUUUUAUUCAUUAAAAUUUAUUACUCUUUAAACAAGUUAAUUUGAAUCAAAGAGUUUCUUAAAAAACUUUUUGAUGCAUUUUCUGCACGUCUCUUGAAAUCUACAAAAUCUCUUUUCUGUCAUUGUUAAUGAGAAAAAAAAUAUAUGUUAUUUUCAAAUAUAAUUUGUUCAAAAUAAUUCAAAAUUUUAUUUCUUAAACAGAUUCAAAUCUUUUCAAACUAUGAUUGUGAUUGACAAGAUUGUGCUUUAAGAUUUGUGUUAAAAAUUUAAUCAAUUGUUUUUUAAAUCAUGGUUUGAGUGGUUUGAAAAUGAAAAGAAAAAAACUCAACAUGAUUUUGUGGCAAAACUAUUAUUACAUCUGCUUUGGAUAUGGAUGAAUUCUUCAGGGUUUCUGAGUGCAGUUCUUCCAAGGAGAUGUGAGACAUCUUAGAGGUCACACACUAAAUAAUUGAUUAUGUGAAAAGAGCAAGAAAACAUACUCUUACUCAGGAGUAUGAACUGUUCAGGAUGAGCAAGAAGAAAUCAUAGCAUAUGUACAUAAAAGGUUCACACACAUAUUGAAUCACUUGACAAAUUGGGGCAAAGUCUUUGACAAUGAAAAGCUGAAUAUCAAAGUGCUGAAGUGCUUGGAUAAAAGCUAGCAAUCAAAGGUUACAACAAUCUUAAAAUCCAAGGAUUUGUCAAGACUAUCUACAUCAAAUUUGUUUGAAAAGUUGAGAGCACGAUGUAGAGCUGAACAAACUAAAAAAGAAAAAAACUUCUGAAAAGAAAGUGCAUAGCAUAAUUUUCAAGACCAAUACACAAAGGAAGAGUGAGAAUGAAAAUGAUUCAGAUCAGGAUGAAAUCUUAAAUCUAUUCACAAUAAAUUUAACAAAUUUCUAAAUAAAAAAAAUCGUGAAAAAAGGUAUAAGUAUUUGAUUUGAAAUGUAAAUAAUUUGAAUGUUAAUAAAUUAUACGUUAAAAUUUAAAAUGUUUUAAAAAAAUGAGGGUCAACUUAUCAAGUGUUACAUUUAAAAACGAGACAUACUUAAGUCAUUCUUUGUGCCUAAUAUCAAAGGAUUUUAAUGUUUCUUUUAGUGAAUUAAUGAAAUCAUGACUUUGCGUGGUUGUUUGAUGGGACGUUAGGCUUUUCUUGUAUGGUUAGCGAUAAUGGGUGUUAGGUAGGUGUUCUGUGUCAAUCUCUGGGUAUUGUUUUAUGUAUAAGGGUUGAACCACCUCUGAAGUGAUUCACAUUUUAUAUUUAAUUGUUAUUAUCGAUAAAAAUAAAUAAAAAUGACUUGCGCGAUUUAUUAUCCAUCCGAUCUAAUUCUAAUAAAUUACCUUUCUCUUAUUUAUUUUACUUAGUUUUAUCUCUUUCUUAUUAAAAGGUUUUAUUUGAUCUUUAAUUUUUAAAAUCAGUGGAAUGUUUCUCCUUCUGUUCAAUCUAGGUUGCCGCCUUUGGUUAAAAGUAUAUGACAGUAAAGAAUUGAUAUUUUGUAGAAAUAAAUUUAAUGAAUAAAAAAUAUUAGAUGCAUAUUUUUAUUUUACUAAAUUUCAUGCUUUUAAAUUUUUAGUUUCUUUGAUUUUUUUUUUUAAAUAACCAAAAUAUUGUUAUAUAGUGAGAUUGCAUAUUUUAAGAGGUAACAAUUGAUAAUCAAAUAUAGUCGAUGAGAUUUUUUUUAUCUUAAUAAGUGUCUUAUUUAUAUAUAUAUAUAUAUAUAUAUAUAUAUAUAAAUAUAAUANNNNNNNNNNNNNNNNNNNNNNNNNNNNNNNNNNNNNNNNNNNNNNNNNNNNNNNNNNNNNNNNNNNNNNNNNNNNNNNNNNNNNNNNNNNNNNNNNNNNNNNNNNNNNNNNNNNNNNNNNNNNNNNNNNNNNNNNNNNNNNNNNNNNNNNNNNNNNNNNNNNNNNNNNNNNNNNNNNNNNNNNNNNNNNNNNNNNNNNNNNNNNNNNNNNNNNNNNNNNNNNNNNNNNNNNNNNNNNNNNNNNNNNNNNNNNNNNNNNNCCAUAAUGAAAAAUUCAUUCUGGAUUCGCCAAUCCGUAAUUCAAAAUAUGCAUUCUAUAUUCAGAAAUCCAUAAUUGAAAAAAAUCAUAUAUUUCAAUAAAACUCUAAAAAUCAAUACUAAUUAAAGUUGUCUUUAAAUUACACCAGCUUUUAAAUAUUAUUUUUGAACUAUAUCUAUAUUAAAGUACGUUUGUUUUCAUAAACAUCUCCUUGCAUUAAAAUCAUAUAACAUUAAUACAAUUACUUUCAAAUUUCAAGUAAAGUUGUGUUAUCAAAAUACAAAUUAUCCACAUUUUUUUUUUAUGUGAUUCAACCCUUAUAAAAAAAAAUAUGAGCAGCUUAACUACAUAACAUUUUUAAAACAUCUAAAAAAUAAAACAGCUCUCGAAACAGUUCCUGACAUAACUUGACAGAAACUUCAUCCGUCAUUCCACUAAAACAAAUCAAAAUGACGAGAUACCAACAAAUUACCAACAUUAAUAAUUGUUUUUUUCCUAUUUAGUAAAAUCCAAAAUGAAUUGCACCAUUUUAUGCAAUAGCCCAAUUUAGCUGUAUAGAUAAUAUUAAUUAAAAUCAUCUGAUAAGAUUACUCUUUUUAAAAUGUUUGCAUGUAGGGGCUGGUAGCUUUCAUUAAACAUCACAAUACUGUAGUCGGAUUUCUCACUUUCAAGUUGUCUAGUUGGACCCGAUUGAUGGAAUCUUUAUUCCAAAUUUGAAUAUUAGAACUUCAAACAACUUUAUAAACAUCAAAUAAAAUACUAGAUUUGCCACCCACCCUGCAGAUUUUUUGUUUGUUAAUUGGAGCAUAAAUAAUUUCACAAAAUAAAUUAACAACAUACCUUUAUAUUUGUUUUAGUAUUAGGUAGAAUUUCGUUCUGAUUUUAUCAAAAUGACAGUGAAUAUAAUGAAGUUAAUUUGAAAAAUUUGCAUGUAAAAUUAACUUAAAUAUAAACCUCAAAAUUGUUAAUCUUAUUCCAAAAUUAGGUAAACAUAUAGAUCUUAAGAUGGUGAAGAGAUUGAAAGGAGUGACUUUCCAUCAUUCAAUGAUCUAGACAAAUGAUGCUUUACAUAAGGUGCAUUCAAUAAAGCAAGUAGUUAUUGCCACUUUUUUCUUUAAUGUUUUGUUUGAUAUCAAAAUAUAAUAAUUAAUUAGAGAUCGAGAAAUGGAAACACAUUCCACUUACAUAUUAAACCUAAUUAACAAUAAUUAGUAUUAUUUUGUUGAAUGUUUGUUGAUUUAAGUGAUAUUUAGUUUAAUUUUGUUGAAUAUAUGUUUUAUAUAUGAAAAAAAAGUUAAUUUUUUUAAUUUAGUUUCGACAUACCCAAUUCAAAUUUAGACUGGGUGAGGAUUUGAAUGGUAUGUGUCGGGUCAUAAAUUCAAUCACAGUGAAUUUAAUUGAGUCAAAGAAACACCAGGAGUCUUACCUAUAAUAUAACAGAAUCUUCACUCUCUUUGGAGUGAGUGAAGUAAAAAAAUAUUUUAAAUGUACAUAAAUUAGAUUUUAAUUUCUCAUUAUUUUUUAAUUAUAUAUACAAAACAGGAAAUAUAUGGUUAGAAUAUAUUUUUCUUUAUUUUUACUGAUGAUAAGAAAAAAGAAUUAAUAAAAGAGAAAUAAAAAGAGAUUAUAUGAGAAAGAAGAGAAGCAAAAGAUGAUCUGAUAAAGUAGGGUCCAGGGGUUCCAAAUAAUGUUGAAAUAUGAACCUACUACAAUUUAUAUAUGGGACCCUUCAUUAAACUCAAAAUCUGACCUAUGAUUAUUUUAUGUAUGUGUGGAGCACAUAUUUUAAAAUUGUUUUUUUAUCUUAUUGUUCUGUCCUUCCGUUCCUACCUUCAAUGCUCCAACUCUGGAGCAGACAUGAUCACGUGUAAAUAGUAGGAACAUGGAAAUUUUCAUUUAGAACAUGUUUGGUUUACUUGUUAGAAUCAUAUAUAUUUAAAAUAUUAUAAAAUAAAGCUAACUAUUUAUUAUUUCGACUUUGAAGUUAGAAAUAAAAUAAAAAAUGCAAAGACAUAUGCAUGUAACAUUCAUAUAUUUCAGUUCUUUAGUAUAAUGGAGAAAGAAAACAAAGAAGAGAUCAUAAAUUUUACUUAUAUAUAAUAAAAUAAAAGACACGUUAACAUAUACUAUUAUCUAAUAUUUUAUCUUAAAAUAUAUCAUUUUUUAGGGAUUUUAAUAUAUACACAAAAUAUUACAAACAAAACAUUCUGAAUAAAGACAUUUGUUUCUCUAGUUGCUCACUGAGGAGUUCUAUCACCUACAACUUCAUUUGUUCCCGUGUAAAGUAACACGAUCAUCACAGAUUAAAGAAAACAAACACAAAACAAAGCAAAGGGUAAGCUAGCUAUAUAAUUUUUUUUAUAUAAUUUCAAUUUCAAGUUAAUAAACAUAAUUCAUCAAGUUUCAUACAAUUUCUCAAAUCAUCAGGUGUCUAUUAAAAUUCAUAAUUCAUAUUUCACAUGUCAGACUUCUACUGAUUCACAACACAUAGACAUUUGACUAUACUUCCAUAAGACUCGUGCCUUGACUUAGACUCAGAGAUCUACACCUGUCAUACUAUAUCACUGUGAAAUCCAUACAGUUAUGCACAUAAAUAAUCUCAAUAUCAUCUUUCUCCUAGUAUGAUAGGGUUAACUGAUAUAACAGGUCAAGUUAGUUAUCUUUCAAAAAACAUACUCAUUCAUAUGAACCUCAUUCGACUUUCGCCACCUGAAUAAUUUCAUAUAUAUGAUUCCAUUAUCUCAGGAGAGUCAGGAUAUCUCAUUCUAGACGAAUCCUUGGUCAAUGCACAUCCUAAACAAUCUUAACAGGAUAUUUUAUUUCCUGAAAAAUACUAUGUCUUUAUUAAAAUUCAUAUUCUGAAUCUCACAAUAUCCAACAUCAAACAAUAAAAUCAUACCAAAGUUUAGAAUUUCCAAAAUACAUAACAAUUUAUUUACUAAUCAUAUAAAUAUCUAAAUUAAAGAAAUUUUCAAUUAAAUAUACAUAAAAUAAAAGUUUACAUAAUUUAUAAGUAAAACUAUACAUAAAUAAAUAAACCAACCUUUUAAAAGCAAAUAUAAAAUAAUAGUUUUUUUACAAGAUUAUCUUGAGUGAGAAUGGGUCUCGUUCAAGCGAAAAUUUCCUCGCUUGAGCAACAUUUAACCCGAGAGCACCCGAAAUUUCAUCCUAGGUCUCGCCUAAGCGAGAGUGGACUCGAGAGCACCCUAUCUUUCUAUUUUAUUCUCGCUUGAGCAAGAAUUAUCUCGCCUAAGCGAGAUAUGCACAAAAUUUAUGCAUAAACCUAUUUAAAUUCAAAACCAAUAUUUCAUUCAAUUCAUAAAUUUAUAAAUCUACACAUUACAUUGACAGUUGAUACUCAUAUAUGCUUUCCAAACCAAGCAUCACAUCUUAAUUACUUUAAUAGACUAUUCAAAUACAAUUAAACUCAUUUAUAUUACCAUUCAAACACUUUCAUUAACUUAUUCACCUUAAAAAUCACUAUAUAAUAUUCAAAAUUAUAUUACUUUAGUCUUAAAAUAGACAAUCUUGCAAGAAAAUUUGAGACUGGUGACCACGUCACCCCCUCAUCCAGAUCUUCUAGCCCAAUGUUCUAUUGGAAAUUUAAAACUAGCUUCCCUUACUUGAACUUGAACAGAUAUUCAAUAAAAGCUCCACAUCUACCAAAAUCUUAAAGGUCACUUAACCUACACCAAAGAGUCUUGAUCACAAAUCUAACUAUACCGUUAAGAUCAUGAGCUAACAGAGACUACUUUUGAAAAUAAAAGUAUCACAUGCAAGAUUAAACUAAAGGCAAACCUAACCAGAUCAAAACUAACUCAAAGGAAAAGGAGCCAAGAAUGAACUUACUCUAUCUAAUAUUUUGAUCGGACACUGCAAGAAAAUCAUGAAAUAGAAACCAAUUUGUAUAAACCAAAAUAAUUAGUUGCAAUAGUAACUAAAUUCGAGACCAUUUUAGAAACUAAAAAUAAAUUUGGUUUCUAAAUUAGUUUCUAUUAUUUUCUAUUAUUGUUAAAUAGUUUCUAAAUUGGUAUUUAAUUAGCAACCAAAGUUUUUGCUACCAAAUUUAGAAACUAAAUAAUUGGUAGUUAAAACCUUAGUUGCUAAUUAGAUACCAAUUUUAAAACUAUUUAACAAUAAUAGAAACUAAUUUAGAAACCAAUUUUUUUUUUAGUUUCUAAAAUGGUCUCUAUUUUAGUUCCUAUUGUAACUAAUUAUUUUGGUUUCUAAAAAUUGGUUUCUAUUUCAUGAUUUUCUUGUAGUGGGACAAUCUUGUAGAGUUCACUGUCAGGAGUCUAAUGGCGGAUUCUGAUUGUCAAACUGAUGAGCGAGGAGAAUCUUAGAGAGAAGGCAGGAGACGGAGAAAAGGAAAAAAGAAAUUUUUAGAAAAAUGAUGAUUCUUUCUAUUUAUAUGCUCUUUUAACUUUAAUAAUAAAAUAUCUAGAUAUCAUUUUAAUUAUACUAAUUCUGCUCUAAAAUUAUUUUUCUCGGUCCUUAUAAUAUUUAUAAAAGAAGAUAGAGCAAAUUUCUUUCCCCUCCUUAAAUGAGAUUUCUUUAAAUUUUAAGGUUUACUAUAUCUUGGAUUAUAUUCUAUUUCAUAUUUUAAUUAUAAUGUAUGAUUUUGUGGAUUAUUACCAAUAAAUUUACUUUAUCUAACACAUAUGUAAUUAUGUUGUUGUGAUAAUAUUAUUAAUGUUAUAUUUGAAAUAUUAUCAUCUUUGAAAUUCAGAAUUUUGUUAAAUUUUUAUCUUUUCAAAAAAUUAAGAAACAAAUAUAUAUUUAAAAUACUUAUCAUUUUUAUUUUUAAAUAAUGUAAAAUCAUUAAAUAAAGCAAAAAUAUAAUAAAAAAUAACGUUGUAAGAGAUGAAAUUUGUACUUAUUUAUAUAUUAUGAAAUAUUAUUAUCUUUAAUUGAUGUAGAAUCUCCAAACACAUCUCGUCACACCAAAAUUAUCAUGCAUGUGACUAUAUAUUUGUGAGUUAUUUGAUAACGAUCCGAUAGCGGGUGAUCGGAUAAGUUCAACAAACUCUCGUUAAAAUAAAUUUUAAAGGACUCUGAUACCAUACUAAGUCUAACUUAAUUUUAUAAAUUCAGGUUUAUAUUCUCUUAUAUUUCAUAUAAAAUGUACAUAUCUCUAAAGUAUGAGAUAUCCCAUACAUUUAAUCAUGAUAUAAAUAUAAAAUCAGCAAAGAGUAAACUAAAUCACAAAGCAUGUAAACCGAAUCAAAAUAUUGAUAACCAAUAAAAAAAAAUCUCAAUAUUUUUAACUCUUAUAAAGUUGAAAGUAAUUUCAGUUUCGAAACACUAUUUUUUUAAUUUUACUCCCAAAAACUUCUUCGCCCCACAGGAAACAUUGUGCACAAAGUGCAGACACAGGUUAUAAUGGGAAGCAAACAACGAGAUAGUAUAGGUCCAAUGGCAUCAGUAUUUUUAAAUGAAUAACGUUUAUAUUUGUGUCAUGAGUUGGUGAGGUUACUUCCCACAUUUACUUUUCCCUCUCUCUCAUUCAAAUAUAUAUACAUAUAUAUAUAUAUAUCACUUAUAUAUGAAGUAAUAUAAUAUUUUUUUUAUUUCUCUAUAAAGAUACAAUAUUUUUAAAAUUCAAUUUCUUUAUAAAACUUUUCGUUUUUCUUUACAAAAUUUAAUUAUCACUAUAAAAUAAAAACUAAUUUUAAAAAUAAAAAAUAAUUAAUUUUUAUAUUAAUUAAAUUAGACAUUAUUUUAUAGACUAAAAAAUUAUUGAUAUAAAAGUAUAGUAAAAGUCAAAUAAUAUGCCAAAUUCUACUAUUUAUACUAUUAAUUUGAGUAAAGUUUUCCCUUUUGAUCUUUAGUUUUAUAAGUUUUUUCUUGUGCAUCAUGUGGCUUUCUUACUUGCAUGUAUGAUUGAAGCCGAAAAAAAUGGAUUUAUACUAGUAAAAUUUUCAUUAAUAUGCUUGAUUUUUAAAUCCAAGUUUUGUGAAAGUAUGCAAAGAUUUUUCUACCUCUUCUUUUAUUCUCUAUAUGUUUGUCUUCAAGGGUAAAAUAUUUCAAAUUAGAGGUACCUAAUUUAAUAGUUAAGUUUAUUUAAGUUAAAUGAUAUGUUGAAGAUGAAAAAAGUUGGAAACUUAUAUUGGAUUGAAUCCUAGAUUAUAUAUAAAUGAAAUAUAGUGUUCAUUGAUUUUUAUGGAAAAAACAUUGUUAAAAAAUUGUAUUGGAAGGAGUUAUAUAAUGAUGAAUUUGAUUUACACAUGUGGAUGUUUUGAUGGAUAAACACGGAUUAUGUUGUAUUAAUUUGAUUUUGAAUGUAGUUCUAAUCUUCUUCUAAUUUGGUUAUUGAUGUGUUGUGAUAGUUGGACUUGUAUCAACAACUUAAUUGUUGUUGUGUGUGUUUGUUUUAUGUGGAUGUUAAUUACAAAUAAAUUUUAUUUGAAUGUUUGUCAAAAAAAUCAUAUACUUAUCUUACACGGAAUUCUUAUUUAUUUGUUGUUUUUAAAAAUAUUUAAAUAUAAAUUACAAAAUUUGUUAACGAAUAAAGUUCAUAGACUAAAAGACUAGUUAAGAAUGAUUGAGGAACUAAAAAAAUUUACAAGAGGAUAAAUAACUUUAUCCAAGAUUACAAUUAAGGAAGUAGUUCAUGAUGUUUUUUCCUUUUUAUCCCUUCUUAAUGCAAGUUAAAGAGAGAAAUGAUAAAAAUAUUAUUGCCAUAGCUCAAUAAUUUAUAGAAGGAUAAGAAAUCAAAGAAAGACUAAAUAAUUGGUAGCUUUAUUAAUUGAGUGGACAGAAUAAAUGUAGAUGAGUUUUUUCCACAUUCAAUAAUUAAAUUGGGUAAUAUAAAACAAUAGGUACACACCCCAAUUACUUUAUGGGAUUUAGAAUUCACUUGUUGUGACAAGUGAUAUUGUGUGGAAUUUGUCCUACCCAAAGUCUCAUAGUUUCUUCUCCUUGUCAUAACUUGCUAAUAACACAUGCAAUAGCUAUGUGAGAAAAUAAUUACUUACCAAGAUGCAUGAAAAGAACAGUGAUAGGAAAAAAUAAUCUAUUUUUUAAAUAUAUAGUUAAAGUUGAAAAUUUUCAAGAUAAACAUCAACAACAAAUUUUAUAAAAUUUAAUUAAAUUUAAAAUAUUUUUUUAAUAAAAUUCGUAUAUAUUUUGAGAGAUUGGACCUAGUUUUUUUUAAGGUCCACCAAAUUCUUUUCUUUCUUAUCUCUUUUGGUAAACCACAAGGUAAAUAAGACAUUUGUUUUAUGCUCCAAAUUUAUUUUAUGCUUCUUUAAUAAAUUAUUUAAUAUCAAUUAAAAUUAUGAGGUGAGAAAUUUUGUUGCGGAAUACUAAUUUAUUUGCUAUUAUUUCUAUUAGUUAGACAGUAUAAUUUAAAGAUACGAAUAUAAGUGCUAUUGUAUGUUAUUUAAGCCUAAUAUUAUUAUUUAUUUUUUAAAAUAUUUAAAAAAAUUAUAAUUUAUUUUAGACUUUACCUCUCUUCUUCCUAAAAAGAGACUAUUUUUUAAUUAUAUGAAGUUUCUUCACUAAAAUAUUACCACAUAUUUGAUCACCAUUUCACUAUUUAUCCAAUUAUAUUGAAUUUAAUGUAUUAUAUGUGAAUAGUAUAUUUACUUUCUUCGAGUUAAAUUUACAUUAUAAACACAAUAAAAAGAAAAUAAAAAAUUUAUAUAAUGUCUUAAAAGAUAAAUAGAAGAAUGAAGUUUGAGUUUAGAGGUGGGUGUUAAUCCUUCUGUGAAUUUGACUUAGGUUUUAGGUUUUAUUGUUAUUUAAACUUUUCGAUGAAUCUUUCUUUAAAAACUCAUCACUGUAUAUUAGUAUCAUGCUGGUACUUGUCUCUUUAAUGUUCUAAAUAUUAAAUUAAAUAUUUUUUAUUAAAAAAAUUCAAGAAAAAAAUAUGAUAUUUUCAAGGAUUUGAAUAUUAAAUAAACAUAUAUUUUAAGAAUUUAAUGAUAAAACAUUUGAAAUUAGAAAUUAUGUUCCACGAAAUACAAAUGUAUCAUUUGAACGAAACCAUAAAAAAAAAUAUAUAUGAUGUAAAAUGACUAAUUCGAGUAAACUUUUUAAAUAUUAAACAAGUUUAACAAUAAUUGAGAGAUAAAAAAAAAAUUGUAUAAUUUUGUGAAUAUUAAACAAGUCAAACUUAAUAGAAUAAAAAAAUAUGUGGCAAAAGAAAUAAAUAAGGGAUUUCAGAUGAAACGAAAAUAAUGAUAAGAAUAAUGAGGAUAAUUUUUUUAAAUUACUUAAUAAAAUAUAAAUAUUUUAGUAAUUUAAGAAAAAAAGAAUAUGAGAAGAUGGAGACACGACAAAUAUAUAUUUUUACACCCCUCUUUUUAUACCUAAUUUGAAAAAAAAUAAGUGUUAUAAAUAUGAAGAUUUCUCAUCAAAAUCGAAAAUAUUCACAACUACAACCUAAUUCAAACCAAAAAAAUUCAUCUACUAAUCAAUGUGCACACUAUCAAGACUUAAAUCAAAAUAAAACAACAGAAUACCCCUUAUUUAAGUAAUUCUGAAUCUCGUUAAUUUACCAAUAAUCUUAUAACUCAAUAAUUCACACAAUUAAUUAAAAAUUAAAUAUCAUGUUGACCAUAUUAAAGUAGACUCAAGAAUUUGAUUAAACUCUCCACUUACCUGAUAGUUGUUUAUUAUCUAAUCAAUAAUAAGUCCAAUAUGAGAAAGAGCUUAAUUUGCAUAAAAAUCUUCAAAAGCUUAAAGGAAACUUCGCCUCACCAAAACACAGUUGAAUUAAUAAUUGAGAUAAUAAUAACUUUCUCAUCUUAUUAAACUUGUGAAAUUCUAAAACUUGUGAACAUGUGGAAAUUGUCAGUGAUUAACGCUAAAAUGCGUGAACUGAGAGGAGGGAGGGUAGAAUAGGAAAAUUAUGGCCAACAUGAUAUAUUUUCCACACUCUAGUCAUGUCGUUUUAAAGAAAUAGUAAAUUUGACAAAAAAAAAUUCUAUAACUCAAUGUUUUCCUACUGUACCCCCACACUUAAAUCAAAAUCAAAAUUACUUUUUUUUUAAUUGACAUUUUUUUAAUAUCAUAAUGUGGGAUGUGAAGACUUCAAUAUAGAUAUAUGUUUUUAAUGAAUCUAGAAGUUAACAUUUAUGUUUUUAUGCAUUUUAGAUUCAUAACACAAAAUUUGUAUUUCGGAUUACAUAAUGUAGAAUACAAAUUUGUGUUUUGAUUGUGUAAUAAAAUAAGAAAUUUGUAUUUCAAGUUCCGCAAUUCAUAAUACAAAUUUUAUAUUAUGAUUACAUAAUGAAGAAUACAAAUUUUAUAUUUUAGAUAAGGUAAUCUUGCAUGAGUAUUUUAUAAGGUUAUUGUCCCCAAUAAAUUUGUGUAUUUUAGAUGGUUUAGCCAAUAAAUUAUUGCGUGUGAAGGAUGAGAUUUCAUGAUUGGUCUCUAGGAUUCAAGAUUGACUUUUGGCUUUUGCUUGACGAUGAGCAUGACUUUUGGCUUUUGUUUGUUUUUCUUAUUCAGAUUGGUGUCUUGAUUCUUUGGUUUGUAUGUAUUUGAUCAAGAGAUUUUGAAUUUUAAGGAUUUUUAGAAGGUUGGGAUGAAGUGUUAGUCUAUUCCUGAAUUUCUUGUUUUGAUCUUUGCUGGCCUGUAUUUUUGUUUUAGUUUUUGUCCUAGUAGGAAGUUAAUGAUAAGUGUCUAGAGGAGAUGUUGUUCUUUUCUGUAUGGUUUGUACAAGGAUUAGAUCACUCAUCAAGUGAUUUUUAUUUAUUUAUUUAUUUUAUUUUAUAUUGUUGAUAAAAAAAACUGUUUCUUCCACAUCAAAUUAUAAGAUUCAAUAGUUUGUUCUUGAAAAUAGUUGAAUGAUUUUUGUGUUGAUUUUAGAGGAAUGUUUGAUUAUAAUGAUGAAGAGAGAUUGAGAAAGUUGCAAAGAGUUGAGGAUUGAGUUAGAGAGUGAGUUGCAAGUGAGAAGAUGAAAAGGGGUAUUGUUAGGGUUUAUUUUUUUAAGGAUAAAAUAAUAAUUUCACCACCUCAUAGAAUGCAGGAUGAAACCAUAGGUGCAAGAAGAAUUUGCCAGUAAAAUCUUGUAAAAGUGUAGGUAAGCCCAGAUAUAAAAAUAUAUAAUAAUAAAUUCUAGAUACACAAUAUAUGCAUUAUUUCUCAUAUUUUUCAAUAAAAUUUAAAAUUUAAUUUUAACAUUAAACAUAAUAAUUUGUACUUUUUAAGUAAAAUAUAAAAUUUUAUUUCGAUUAUUCAGAAAUUAAAAUGUACACUAAAAGUCAUUUUAUCAUUAUAACAUUUGGAAGUUAAAUUAAUUUGAAAAUUACUGUAAAUAAAAAACAUUAGUUUGUCAAGUAAAUAGCAUCAUUUUUAUUUUUUUUCCAACAUUUGAAAUUGAUGCGUAUAUGUGGAAACUUUUUAAAUAUAUAAGCAAAUUGAAAUAUUUUAGCAACAUUUCUUUUAUUAAAAAUGUUGAUAGCAAUAAUUUUCGUUUUUAAUUCAAAUUGUGUAUUAAUUAAUUUUGAGAUAGCAAUAAUUUUCUUGUUUAAUUCAAAUUGUGUAUUAAUUAAUUUUGAAAAAUAAUUAAUAUUAUGGUGAAAUUGUUGGUAUUAAAUAAAUAAUAUCUAAUUUUAGUGGUAAAAGAUAUGUUUCAACUUAAAUUCUAAAUUUAAUUUGACAUAUUAAAAAAAUUAAUUUACUUCUAUCUUUGUAUGUAAAAAAUCCAACCUCAUUCUUAUUUUAUUGUAUAUGUAAUAUUCCUUUUUUUAACAGUUACAUUAACACACAAUCAUUCACUCAUCUCUUUAAUUUAUUGUAAGGUAAUAUUUCUUUUUUUUUUACCGUUACAUUAACACACACACCCACAUACCACACACACACAUUUACAUUUAUAUUACACACAUUUUCUAAGAAAAGGAAACAACAACAUGUGAAAUAUAAUUUAUUUUUUUUAUUUUUAAUUCAUUUAUGUUGAAAUUGUUCUAUCGCAAUAUUAUUUAGUCUUGUGUAACACAAUCAUCAUAAUUGAUAAAUAACACAAUCACAAAGUAAGGUAACUAUAGGAUUUUAAAAACUUUCGUAUAUGUAUAUAUUAAAUUUUACACACAUAUUAUAUUCACAUCUCAUCCACGUACUUUAAUUGAUACAAUUUAGAUUUAUUUAUUAAAUAUAUAUUAGAAAUCAAGUGUAUAUAUUUUAACCAACAUGCUACAUAUCAUGUUAUAACUUAUAAGCUACUAAUGUAAUGUAUCACAAACACUUGAGUGCGUCUAUCAUAUUACUUUCACUAAGUUGUCACCACAACAAAACUCUAUAAUAGGAAAUCGGUCCACUUAUAUGACAUGAUAAAUUCCUAUGAUCUACUAACAUAGUUCUUUUUCACACCACAUACUCUGUUAUAAGAACCUCUUCCAACUUUCACCACCUAAUAUUUUCCUUUAUGUGAGUCCAAAAUUAGUAGAGUCAUGAUCGUCUCCUUCAAAAUCCCAAAUUUAAUAUAACCUAAACAUCUCACCAUAGUAUUCAUUCCCUAAAAAUAACCACGUUCACCACAUACAACAUGUCAUAUCAUAAAUUUCUAUUCAUAUGUAUACAUCUAACUCAAUUUAAAUGUUACAAAAUUACAAUUAAUCUUCCAUUACAUUAUAAUAACAUUGAAAUACAAUAUAUUGACAAAUAUAAAAAUAUACUGAAAGAGAUAAACAAUAUUAACUUUUAGAAACAUUUAAAAUAUAUUUUCAAAGUUUAGAAAAUAUUAUCCUGUUAAGUCAACACUUUGCUCACAUAGCAAAUUAAACACUUGUUACAAAUUGUCCAACCAUCAUUCUAUUUGUCCAAACUCUACUCAUUCAAUAAACAAAAUAUUCACUCAAACUAAGUCACUAUAAGUUUUCAUACGAUUUUUCCAUUUAAUAUAUUUAUUUCUCCUUAGUUCAAAUGUAGUUUAGGAAAAAUUAUCUAUACUUAGUAUUAAUUACUAAAAUCUUAUUAAUUACUAAAAUCUUAUUGAGAAAGUGAUAAGAAGUCACUUUAGAAAACUAUAAAAAAAAUAUUAAAGAAAUUCAAAUAUUCUAAAAGAGAUUUUAAAAAAUAAGUAACUAAAAAGUAAAAGUUUUAAUUAUAUCUUUAUGAAUAUAACUUGAAAUUUAAUAUUUAUUAUUUAAAAGAUGAUAAAACACAUGUUCUUAGAACAUGCUUAAUAAAAACUCAUAAUUUUCUUAAGCAUAAUUAUUUUUUAAUAAAAAAAUAAUAGAUAACAUGGACUUAUGAGUCAUUGCACUCGUGGUUACUAUCAUAGUACUAAGAAAUUGCUUCAUUUUUCAUUUGAUAAAAUUCGUACUAGAUAUUUAUAGUUGUUUUAUCAUUAUUUACCAUAUUAAAAAAACAAUAUAGGCAAUUUCUAGCUCCAACUUAUUGUGCAAAAUUGUAAAUUUUAUUCUACUCUAUAAAUAAGAUUCAUUCUUCUUAAAGAUGAAACCAUAUGUUAUUUUAAGAAUAAAUAUAUUUUUGUUUUUUAUAUUAUAAUACAAAAUUGAUUUUUCUCUUCGAUUCAAAUUUUAAUAAUUUAAAUGCUUAUAAUGACAUUGGAAUAUAUCUUUUUGAAUAUGAAAUAUAUUCAAUUUGAGAUUUUGCUUCAUUAACCUAUUAAAAGUAGUCAUAGUAGAUAAUAAUAAAAAUAAUAAAAAAAUUUGAAAAAAAUUAACAAUCAUUUCACAUACAUAAUGACCAAUUUCAAUUAUUUUUACUAGCGGAAACAUAAACGCAACCGCGCCUGUGUACCCGCAUUUUCCUCUUUUACUCAAUUUUUAUGAUAAUACAAAUUUAAUAUACAUAAAUAAUUUUAGAUGGGUCAAAAUUGAAAAGUAAAAAACGGAGUGCAGAGAGUGAUUGAAAAUAAAGGUUAUUUUAUUUGAUAUAUGAGAUUUGGUGUGGAAAUGUGUGAGAGUAUGUUCUCCCUUUCUUUCUGUUGUUACGUUAAAAUAAGGAAUUAAUGGAAGAGUGUGGGAGUCAAAUAAAAACCAUAUAUUAAUAUUAAUUUAAAAAAUAAUUUUAUUUUUUAAGUAAUUCAUAUUAAAUGACANNNNNNNNNNNNNNNNNNNNNNNNNNNNNNNNNNNNNNNNNNNNNNNNNNNNNNNNNNNNNNNNNNNNNNNNNNNNNNNNNNNNNNNNNNNNNNNNNNNNAUAAAAAAAUGUCAACAUUGUAUGACAUAUUUAUUUUAAAAUUAAUUGUAAUUAUUGUAAAUAUGUAGAUCUAACUUGACUACUUUUUUCAAUUUCUAACAUUGAUAUAUAGUGUAUUAAAUAUUUGGAAAACAAUUUUUAUUUUUCACAAUAAUUUUUUUUAUUUACUCGAAAAUGCAUAUGCUUUCAUGAAUGUGUUUUUACAUUUUAUUAUCUUAAAAUAAUAUAAUUUUAAAAAUAUAUUUGAGAAUAAUAUUAAAAAUAUAAAAUAAUAUAAUUUUACAACUAUAAUAUUAAAAAUAUAUGUGAUAGUUAUAUUAACACAAUAAAUUAUUUAAUUGUUUUGGAACAGAAAAAUUAUUUAAUUACCUGCAAAUAUCUUAAAGUAAAAAACAUGGUUAAUUCAAAAAUUACCCUAUGAAUGUGUUGUAUAUAUCAUGUAGACUAAAUUAUUGCUGAGGGAUUUUUUUAUAUACACUAAUUAACAUUUCAUUUAUUUUUAAAUCUUAUCUAAUCUUUUAUAUAUUUUGAAAAUAUCAUACUGACAAUUUUUUACAUUUAAAAGUAUUAUACUUAUUCUUGAAGUUAUUGAAUGAAUAAAAAGUAGAAAAAUAGGAGUAAUUAAAGAAAAUAUAAUUUAGUCUAUGACUUAUAAGUUGAUGAUAAUUACUUUAUAUAUUAAUAAUAUUAUUAAUAUUUUUUUAUAUAAAAGUUUUCAUAUAAAACUAAUGAAUAUUAUUAAUAUAUAAAAUAAUAUAAUUUAAUUAAUAUAAUAUUAAUAAUCUUUUAUAUUAAAAUUUAUUUUUUAUUUAGUUAUUUUUUAUAAUAAUAAUUAUGAACAAACUUGUUAAACAAUUUUUAGUAAAACUAUUGAUCCGUGGAAGAAUGAGAUUGGUUGAAAGCAGAAGUGAAGAAGAAAAUGAAGUGAAAGAGAUUGAAAAAGAAAAUGAAGUGAAAGAGAUUGAAAAAGAAAAUGGUUGAAGUGAUUGAAAUGAAAGUAGAAAGAAUGUUUAUGAAUCUGGACAGGAUUGAAGCAAGUGUUCAUAUAAAUGAAUUUGGACAUGAUUUUCGUACAGGGUUUCAAUUUUCUCUCAUAUAUAAAAAAUAAUAAAGUUUGUUUGAUAAAGUAAAUAAUAAAAAAUAGCAACUUACCAACUUCUUAUAAUAAAUAAUAUUUUAAAUUAAAUAUUAUUAAAAUAUUAUUUUAUUAAAUUAUGAAGUGGAUGUUUUGACUGGAUACGUAUCAACGUAUCACUGCUCAUGUAUGAGAUGUAACUAAAUAUUUAAUUAUUAUUUAGCAGAGAAAACGAAGAAUGAGAAUAUAAAUAGGAAAAUGUUACUUUUAUGCAAACUGCUUCAAAAUACAUUGCAUAUUAUAUAUAUUUCACCAUUAAAGCAACGUAAUGUCAAUUAGAGUUGUUCUUCGAGUGUAAAUCUUUCAAGACAUUAAGUUUAUCUGUAACUAAAAAAAAACAUAGAUUUACUCAUUUUCAGUUGUUUAUUAUGCAUCUUAAUAAAAAAGAUGGUGAUAGUAGAUAUUAAGUUUAUCUGUAAUUCAAAAACUAUAAAUUUACUUGAAUUACACUUUCUAUGCCUUGAUAGAUUUACUAUAUUUACUAAAAUGUCAUAUUAAGUAUGAAAAAUAAAAAAAUAUUAUAAAAAUGAAGAAUUGAUAUGAAAGUUGUCAUCACAACUCAACAAGUCUCUUAUAGGAGAGACUUACAUAGUUGUGUGAAUCAUGAAAAUGUUUGUAAUUUUUGUAAAAAAUUGCAUGAGAAGAUUCAUAGCUUUUUUCCAUAAAAAAACUACAUAAGAAUGUUUGCAAUUUUUUUCAAAAGAAUUGUAUAAUGUUUGUAGUUUUUUUCUAAAAACUCUACAUGUUGAGCAAUAAUAAUUUUGUUAAUAUUCAUGUAGCACAUUAAAUUUAUUGUGUUUAUUAUUUAAGUUAUCACUGAAAAAAAAAUCAUGAAAUAAAAAUCAAUUUUUAGAGACCAAAAUAAUUAUUUACAAUAGUAACUAAAUUAGAAAUCAUUUUAGAAACUAAAAAACAAAUUAGUUUCUAAAUUAGUUUCCUUAAAUAGUUUCUAAAUUGGUAUCUAAUUAGCAACCAAAGUUUUUGCUACCAAAUUUAGAAACUAAAUAAUUGGUAGUUAAAACUUUGAUUACUAAUUAAAUAACAAUUUAAAAAUUAUUUAAUAAUAAUAGAAACUAAUUUAGAAACCAACUAAUUAUUUUGGUCUCUAAAAAUUAGUUUCUAUUUCAUGAUUUUUUUGUCUUGUAGUGUAUACUCUUAUUUGUGAGUGGAUUUUCGUUAGAAUAAAUUAUUUUCCUAUUGUGUGAUUUAAUACUCACAUUAGAGUCGAGGUUCUAACAAGGAAGGAAGAAGAGCGGUUAGACAUGAGAAAAAUCAACAUUGUGUAUUGCAUCUUCGGAGAGGUUAGUGAUAUAUUUGUGCAAUAACUUUGUUGAUGCAUAUAUGGUGGGAUCUACCUUUGCUCGGGGGUGGUGUUAGUCAUGAAUUCCACCUUGUGUAUUGGUGAGCAUCCAACAACAAUGACUUACGAGUCAUCGUCAAGGAGUAUCUCCAAGUCACCAAUAGCGAUAAUGGUUCAAGCAAAUUUGUUGCCAAAAUGUGAAAUGUUCAUUUCAAAGCACAAAGAAGAAGAAAAAUGGUUGAUUUUGAAGCUUUGUUGUAGAGUUACUUUCUUUAUGUGAGACUUUUGGUGAAUGGAGGAUAUGUUAACGUUAAUGAAUAUUCAUUAAAGAACCACAUUGAGUAAUGAAUAAUAUAAAUAAUAAAAAAAGUAAAAAGUUACUAUAAAAAUGAAGAGUUGAUAUAAAAUUGUCAUCAGAACUCAAUAAGUCUCUUGAAUCUCAAUAAGUCUCUUAAAUGUAUAAAGACUUGGAUAAUUGCUUGUCAUAAAACGAUUUAUAACUUUUUUUUCAAAAAAUUGCAUGAGAAGGUUUACAGUUUUUACUAGAAAAAUUGUAUGAGUGUUUACAAUUUUUACUAUGUCUUGAGAUGUGGAAACAUAUUAAAUUUAUUGUGUGUUUUUAUUUAAAUUUUAAAUUUUUAUUUGUGAGUGUAUUUUAGCUAGAAGAAAUUGUCAAUUUCUUCCAAUAGUUAAUUCCCAUCAACAUUAUCCCCAAAGAAUUCACAUAAUUCUGUGACAAAAAAAAUAGUACAAAAUGAUGCCCUAAGCUAAAAAUUAAAAAAAUAAAAUAAAUAAAUAAUCAAGUCUUCCCAGGAGAACCUAAAUUUAUUCAACUUUUUUUGCUUUUAGCAUGAAGCUCAAGAAACUAACCAUGAAUGAACCAACCAAUAAAAGUUGAUGCAUCAAUUAUAAAAACAUGUUAUGUGACAAAGGCUAGUAAUACAAUUUCAACUUUUUUCACAACUCGUCCAAAUACUAAACUCUGCUAAGUUUAGUCAUAUAUUUUUUCAAUGGCUGAUUCUCCCUGCACCCGAUCAUUUAUACUGACACCCAAUUGCAUAUAGAAAAAGACUAGACUACCCUUAAUGAAUUUGAAAAUACCUUAAGUGUGAUCUGCACCCAACCUUCUUCUUCUUCUUCUCCAUUUGUGCGUGAACCAGGCAACCAUCACAGUCAGCCACCUUCGUCUCCGUUCGUUUGCUUCAUUGCUUCACUGUCAGUGACCUUCAUCAUCGCAGGCAGAGCAGCAGCCGCCACAGUCAGCUUCGAAAGUCGGAGAAAGAACCAUCGUCGAAGAAGUCAAGGUACACUAACAUGACUUUCGAAUAUUUUUAUCCGUAGUUGAGUAUUGCCUUCCAAAUAUUUAUAUCCGUAGUUCAUUAUUGAAUUUUGGAUAUUUUUAUCUGUAGUUCAUUAUUGCCUUCUGGAUAUUUUUAUCCGUAAUGAACUUUUGACUUGCAGAUAUUUUUAUCCGAAAUUUGUUAUUCUGCGGAUAUUAAUAUCCAUAUUAGUGUUAGAUAGUUAUGACACUUGGCUUCUAUGAGAUUUUUCAUUUAUUCUUCUACAGCUAAAAGCAAAACUUCACCACAACAAUGAACUUCCUCUACCUCACCAUACACUAUUUUUCAAAAUGAAGAAGAAAAAGGCACAAUGAGAAUUUUAAAAAUUCGUCGUCGAGUGCCAGUCAUAAUUGACCAGUCAGGAAGCAAUUGCCUUUUUCAAUUUACUAUUUACAUCCAUAAGAUCCAUUUACUUAAAUGACAAGUGUGAAAUGGAAAGUGACUCAUGCAUAAAAAAUAAUCAUAUUUUAUAUUUUUUUAUUGUACUGAAAUAUAAUUUAUAUUCUGAAUAAUAUUCUGGAACACAAUUUUCUAUUUUUAAUCUCGAAAUACAUUCUAAAAUCGCAUUACAUAAUAUAUUAAUACAUUCUAGAUUAUAUAUUAUAUAUUUUGAAAUAUACAUUUUAUAUUACACAAUAUAUUAAUACAUUUUAUAUUGUAUAUUAUACAUUCAUAUUUGUAUAUUCUGAAAUGUAUAUAAAGUUUCAAAAUAAGUUUUGCACGUCCUGGAUCAUCCAAUUUGAAAUAAACCAGCAGCAUCAACAAUAAAGAAAAUAAAUUCAAAACAUAAAUCUCGUCCAACGGCGCAACGAGACAACAAGGUCGAAGAUGAUUCUUCAUAUAAACUAUUCCUACAAAGUCUCUCACAUACAAACAUAAAGAGAAUGCACCAAAUUCUAAUUGGAGGUGCAUGGCGGAAGAAGAAGAUGAAGUGGAAGGGUGAAGAAAAUUUAAGUUUAUUUUAUAAAUAUGAAGUAGGACACUUGUGUUUACCAUUAACGUUAUACAUAAAAUUACAAGAAAAGGAACUAGCUUAUAUAGAUUUUUUUUUAAAAAUAAAGAAUUUUAAAAGUUUAAAUAAUUUUUUAUUAAAUGUUAUGAACUCCAACUGUUACAUUUGCUCAUUACAUCUCAACAUUAUCAAUCCAAAAUUUCAUAUGCUUUUGACUAGUUAAAUCGAGGUGGUUAUUUUUUUCAAUUUCUAAACAUUUAAAAACAAGUUUUCCUUCAGUUAUCACUUCAAAACAGAACACCAUACCAUAACCUUCUUGACCACAAAUUUCAUACAUUUCUCAGGAAAAGUUAGAAGACAAUUGUUCGUCAUUAAAAUUAUACCGUUUCUUUAUGUUCAGUUCAGCUGUAAUUACUUUUCAAGUUUCAGAAUAUAAACUCUUCUUGAGCUUUCCAGUCACCUUGGACUACUUUCUCAUCUGUGUGAAGAGCUCAGGUGGCUUAUUGCCGCCAACUGCACCAAACCCACCAUUCCCUUGGCUGCUAAAUGGUCCAAAACCACCACCUGAACCAGCUCCAGCAAAUCCUCCAUUAGAAGAAACAGCACCAAAACCACCCCCAGGGGCAGCAGCACCAAAACCACCUCCAGGGGCAGCAGCACCAAAGCCACCCCCAGGGGCAGCAGCACCAAAACCACCACCAGGGGCAGCAGCACCGGCAAAUCCACCACCAGAAAAUGCACUACCAGUGGAUGCAACACCAGCAAAGCCUCCACCUGUUGAUGCUAUGCCAGCAAACCCUCCACCAACGGGAGUGUUUGAGAAGGCACUAGUGGAACUACUUCCCGCAAAUCCACCAAAACCACUGGGAGGGGAGAAACCACUUCCAGGUAAACCACUACCAAGCUGUCUUGAUUGUCCGAAACCACCCAGUACUGAUCCAAGAACCUGUUGCCCUAAUCCAAUUUGUGCUGGCUUCCCAAACCCACUAGGAGGGGCUUGAGCAGCUGCCACAGCAUUGAAGCCACCAGAGAAUGCACCUGAAUUUGUUGUCUGGGAUUGCGCAGAUGACUGAGGGUUUGAGAAAGUAAAAGAUGCUGGUUUAAACAACUCUCCACUAGGAACAGAGAAUGUAACUGUAGAGCUUGAUGAACUAGUCGCUACAUUAUUAAAUGAACCCCCAAAAGGAUUUGACUUAGGCAUUGAUGGGUUAGGGUUUGAGCUAAUCCCAAACCCGCCAAAGCUUCCCAAACUAAGUUCACCCGUGUUGUUACUUGUCUCGGGAGCUUCUUCCUCCAUCUCAUCCUCAUGGGAAAUUCCAACUUCCAAACCCUCAUUUUUCCCACUUGAAACACUAGCAGAGGAAAGGAAAGAAGUUGAAAACUGCAAAGGAGCAUCAGAAGGACGUGCAGCUUGAGAAACUGGGACAGCAUUGAGAUCAAAACUUGUUAUAUUGUUGGAAGAUUGAUCGAUAGGACUGCUUGUUGGUCCAAGCUUCAAUUCAGAUGCAUUAUUUAUGGGUUCAUUUGGUCUAGUGAUUACUUCUGCAGCAGCAUCUGAAUCAGUCUUUGAAUUAGACACAGCAGCUGGUUGAAUAUCUGAUUUAGGUAGAGAAGCUGGUUGAAUAUCUGAUUUAGGUAGAGAGGGUGGUUGAAUAUCUGAAUUAGGUAGAGAAGCUGGUUGAAUAUCUGAUUUAGGUACGGAAGCUGGUUGAAUCUCUGACUUAAGUGACCCUAAGGCAAACUUCAAGCCAGGUGGGUUAGGUAAGGAUGACACUGUGUCUUUAGGUCUCUGAUUAGAAAAGUGAAUAAAAGCUGAUGAAGAUGAUGACAUGGCAUUAUUUGAAUCCGUACUGGUGUUCAAACUAGUCAAGCUGUUUGAUGUCACUGACACUGCUACUGGAGGCACUGCUGCAGAUGAGACAGAUGAUGAUGGCGGAGAGGAUGAUGUCUUAGCAGUCGAAGAUAACACAGAUUUAAAUGAACCACCAAAUGUGGGGACUGCAGGAACAUUUUCCUUGGGCAAGCUUUUAUCAGCAUGGAAGUCAGUAACUUUUCCCAGGAAGGGUGACGAUGCAGAAAUAGUGGAUGACUGUGACUCAGAUGACGGGAAGACUUUUCUCCAAGACUCGGGAGUAAACGCACUAGAAGGUUUGUCUACGGUUGUGGAACUCGUAGCAAUAGUCAUUUUAUUAUUUGUAAUGGGUAUUUCACUGGAUAUAAUCUGCAUUGAAGGUGUUUCUGUGGUUGAAUAGAUAGGUAUUGGGGAUUUUUGAGCAAUUUUCCAAUGCAGGGUAGGCUUAUUUUCACUAUUUGAGACUAAAUCAAACUUUUGAACAGUUGACUUUUCAGUAGCCAAAUCUUUAGUUUCUGUGGAAUAACCACCAUGCACCAUUGUUGGUGACAAAUGGAAUGCAGACUGUGAGGGUAUGAAUAAAGUCUUACUUUUUGGCACAACACUUGAUGUAGACUCUGAAACUUGAGUGGUUGCUCGGAGGCUGUCAGCAGGUAUAAAUGCCUUUGAUUUUUCUGAGACCUCUUCAAGUUCAAGAUGAGAAUCCAGAACGCUUGCUGCAAGUAUAUUCAUGACAAAGAUAAGUGUCAGAAACUUAAGCUAUAAGCUAUCAACCAGGCCAACAAUUGAUUGCAGCUCACCUUGCAUUUUAGAAGAAGGGAAUACAAUUGAAGGAAUUCUAGCAUCUGUCUGACGAGGAGCAGAUCCCUCGAGAGUGGAAACUUUUUUUUCUUUAUUCAUUGAAUAUAAUGAUUCAUUCCUAUUAAGUUUCUGAAGUUCUUGCAGUAGCAUCCUCUUAACGGUGGUCUUAGGAGGUUCAAAACAGGUCCAACUCUGCACCAAAGUCGGUAGAGGUCACAAGUCACAAUCAUUAAUCGAAGCAAUAUAUCAGAACAACUACAUACAGGACGAUAAAGUUCCUAAUUAUACUUAUGAUAAUUUCUAGGGUCCUUACACGUUACAUUUCCCACCACUAUUUUCUGGUAGCAGUAUUUUUAUAUCACCUCUCAUAAACACUCUAGUUCACUCACUCCCUCGAUUUUAUUUAUACAAAUGUCAAAUGCUCACAUUCAAAUCACUAGACAGAUGGACUGUUUCAAAUAAAAAAUGUACGCACAAAAAUUCAAAUGUACUAGCACAAAUAUUUAGAACAUGGUUAUUAUAAUCAAGCUUGAGAUUCCAUUGGCUAAUGAUAAUCAACAGAUGCAGACAAAAAAAUAGAAAGAUAUUAUCAUAACUUUUAUUCAAGCAACCAACUAAACAGCACAAACAAAUUAGUUUGCUUAAAUAUGUGCCAUAUUGGUAUUGAUCAACUGAAUUAAUACAUAAGCAACUAACACAUUAAUACCUGGUCAAGUGAGUCUCUCCUCCUCCUUGCCGUUUCUGGUUCAUAACUCUUAGUUGCACUGGUUUGAUUUCUCCUAGAUUGAUCUUUAUUAGCUGUCAAAUCAGAAAACACAAUCUUCUUACUAGGAGGAGUCUUCAUAAAACAUUUCAUGUCUGGUGAGCCAAAAGCUGCUUCAUACGGAAUUCCUAUUGUUUCAAAUAGCUCCUUCAAAUUCUUUCUUUCCUCAGUUUGAGACCUUAAACUCAACGCUGACAUUUGUUUUGAAAGGCAAUCCGAGAGAUUUUCUGCAGCUACAAGUUGUGAACUGAUUGCGCUAUGUAAGCUAUGCAAUGACUGGACAUAUCUGCAAAGGGGAGGAAACUAAAGUUCAGUUAAACAGAAGAUUUUUACAAGGUUGAAGUUAAAUGCCUACUCAGACAGACAGGAGAGGCACAAACUAAUGUUCACUUUUGUAUUGCAUCACAGUGAAGCAAAUCAUUCAAUGUUUUAUAGUCAUACUUCCCCUUGGAAGUGUGUCUACCUAAUGGUCCAUGUGGGAUGACAGUGACUUUAGGAAAUGAUGCUUCUAAAAUCUCCUAACUAAAAAAAACACUUGUUUAGUCACUUCCAAACUUGAGUUCUUCGUUGCCUAAAGUACUUUCAUGGUAUUGAGGAGAACAGUCAAAGGAAGGCACCAUUAUCUCACAAGAUAUAUGCUUCUGAUAUUUUGAACGAAGCAGGCAUGGUUGAAUUGAAUGUCAACUUGUUGGUAGUCUUAUGGAUCCAAAUCAAAAGUUAGUGGCUGGACAAGGUGAAUCUUUCUAAGAUCCAAAAAGAUAUAGGAGACUGGAUGAGAAACUCAUUUACCUCACUAUACUACGUUUGACAUCUCUUUUGUAGUUGGAGUUUUUAGUAAAUUCAUGCAGCUUCUCACAUUGAUCAAUGGAAUGUUGUGAUUCACAUUGAUAAAGGAACCUCGAUGUGGAUUGUUAAUACCCAAGUUUCAGGAUAUUGGGAUGAGUGUAUUAAUCAAGAAGAAAAAGAUAAAGAAAGUCAUAGGAAGAUUACAUAAAGCCUGACAAGAGACAAGAACCGUCUGGCUCAUAAAAAUAAUUCUGUUUUCUUAUUUUAGUAUUUCUAGGACUCAGGUUUUAGAAUUUGUUUACUUUCUUUUAAUUGUAUUUUUAAAUUAUAAUUGAAGAUUGGGAUUGAUAAUUGGGCCUCAACUCAAUUGAGCACAUUCAAUCAAGGCCCAAGUUUAUGUGGAUUCUCGGCCAAGAUAAGCAAGGGUUGCACACAAGCUAGCAUGAGAAGCAUGUCUUCAAUUCUCAACUAUUAGAAACUGGCAAGCGAGACAAAGUGGCAAGGAAAGCAUUUGCACCAAGAGUGUCGAAAGCAUGACUCCAAGGUGUGCCCAAGAUAGGAAUAUUCCAGAAUUAUUUUUCAACUUCUGAGACUUGAAAUGGCACCAAGAUUGGGCACGCCACAUAACUAUCUAAGACACCAUCGUAUCCAUAUUUGACACUUUUGAAUGAAUGGAAAUUUCUUUGAGAAAUUUGAGAGCUUAGUUUCUCUUGGGAGUGUGAUACUCUCUUUGGAGUCUUAUCCAGAAGUGUUGAUUCUUCCUCACACUUAUCCACAUCAUCUCAAGUGGUGUGUUCUACAUUUCUCUUCUACAUCUUUUCUAUUUUCUUUGGCUAUAGUUUCAAAACUCUACUUGUUCUUAUGCUCUUGUAAAUUCACCAAUGUUUAUUCAUGUGUUCUUGAAUCUAUGAUUCAUAGCUUAAACAUGAUCUAAUUCAUGUUCAAAAGCAAAGAAGAUAUUCAAUUACAUGGUUAUGAAAUUGCAAGGAUAUUGAAAUUAAUUGAAUGAUUCUAAUGCCUCACGGUUCUUAUCAUAUUCUAAUGUUGUUUGGACAGAAUGUCCUAUGGACAUCUUGUGUCAAAGACAGAAAAUACUAUCUCUUGAAAACAUACAAAAAACAAAUGUUAUGAUCUAUUAAAACAGUGAAAAAGAAAAACAGGAUAAAACCAUUGUGUAUGUUGAACACAUAGGAUUAUGUUUAUAUAGAGAUUAAUCAUACAAAAGGUAUGGGCUAAGCCAAUUACAUUGAUAACAUUGAUAUAAGCACAUAAGGUUUGAUGAAGAAUACCAUGAGAACCCAUAAAACUCUUAAAAGAAUGAGAAACAUACUCACGCACAUUAUCAUUAUGCAACAUUUGAACAAAAAAUCCAAAUUGAUUUCAAAUUUCAUUGUAAAAGGUUUGAAGUAUAAAAAACAACUCAGAACAAUUUUUCAUUAAAAACACUCAAGUACAUCUUGAAUAAUCAUCAAUAAAAAUAAAAGAAACAUAAUACUAAAUCUUAAAUUGGACUUAACACAACUUGGUCUAAAUGUCAGAGUGAACUAAGGCAAAACGGGAUGAAGCACGUUAUGAGACACUACUAGGAAAAGAACUAUGAAUGUGUUUCUUGAUAAAUUGGAUAAACAUGGAACAUGCAGAAGGGUUGAACAAGUGAAAGUAAAUUUUGGGCAUAACAACGUACGAGACAAAGCCAGAUCCAGAACGAGGAACAAGAGGCGAUCCCAUUGAUGUUAAGCGCCAUUAUAACAGACACCUAACGCACCACCACAUGCGGUAAAAAGAAGUGCAAUGACCAACAAAUGGGAGGUGCGUGAGUGCAUGCAAACUCUGAUCGCCGCGAUCCUGGCAGCAUGGUUGCGCCCCCUGCUGUCACACUCACCAUUGUCCUCUCUAUUCUUGUGUUGUCGCGGGAGGAGAGCUCCUCUUUUGUAUUCUAAUUUUAAUUUUUUAUUUCAGCUGCGAAACUGUUCCUCUCUUUUGUUUUAGUUUUUUAUUGUGUUGGCUGAUAAUUAUAAUAGCAAGUGGAAGGAUGGAUCCUGUGUGGAAGCAUUGUGUUUCUAUUGAUGGGAAAGUAAGGAAUUGAGAAUGUAAAUACUGUGAGAAAGUAUUAAUAAAAGGGAUUUAUAUAUUGUGUUAUGUAUUAAAUAUAUAACUUUUUAUAUAGUAGUAACUCUUCCUAGUCAAGUUACAAGUUUUUAAUUCCCUUUCCGAUCCUCGAGUUUUCAAUGGCAAUGUUGCCAAUCCAAACUACGACUGUGGUGCAGCAGUGAAGGCGCCAGAGCAACUGUGGCAGCGGAAAAAAAAAAUACCAGUGAACAGUGGGUUUACCAGGAAGGUAGGGAUUUUACCCUUGUUCUAGAUACUAUAUUAAAAUAAAGGAAAAGAAAAAAUAGGAUAAAUCACUUUUUUUAUGUUGAACACAUAGGGUUAUGCUUAUAUAAAGAUUAAUCAUACAAAAAGUAUGGGCUAAGCCCAUUACAUUGGCAGUUAUAACUUAUAUCUAACAUCAUCCAAUCUAGCGCAAAGUUUAAUAUAGGAUCAUGGCAUCAAACAUCACUUUACACUACCUGUAAUCCAAUGUUCCAUGAAAGAAACAGAUAUACAGAGAUUGAAUGUGGUGUUUAAGAAAAAUUAAAGGCCAAAGAAUUAGUGUUGAAGCUAUCAGCUCCAAUACCCAGCCCCCAAAAUAUUUGAACUAAGUCUUUGAGAGGAUCUCAUUAAAUUUGUGUUCCAAACUUGAUGUUCCUUACAUAUGGAUUAAUGAAAGUAUAGAACGAAGAAGCCAGCAAGACAAAUCAAUUAAACAGUAAAAGAAAUCCUCAACUCAUCAGACCACUCCAUACUCAGAAUAACCCACCACUGCCAAUACCGAAAAUCCCCUCCCCAAAAAAAAAACUCUCACUCCAUUACCCACACAAAUAUAAUAAUUCCCUCUCUCUAGCACUGAUUCCAGCAUCUCCUUCCUCUAAUUCAUGUGUGCAACCUGUUCCUUCUCAUAUGCCCUCUCUAUCUAUUCCCUUUCUACUUGCCUCCUGUUCUUUUCCUCCAGUCAUUUACCUAAAGGCCAUGUAGGCUUCCAGCCCAUUGUUAGUUUACGAGUCACCCUC
Molecule: long non-coding RNA, 38649 nt
Filed under: Phaseolus vulgaris (common bean)
Lineage: Eukaryota; Viridiplantae; Streptophyta; Magnoliopsida; Fabales; Fabaceae
Description: long non-coding RNA (PVUL_LNC002044)
Source: RNAcentral